GGGAGGCUUCCUAAUGGGCAAGAUAUAGCGGUGAAGAGGCUAUCUCGGAGCUCAAGACAAGGUGCUGAAGAAUGUAAAAAUGAAGUUACAUAGGUAGCAAAUCUUCAACAUCGAAACCUUGUGCGGCUACUCGAAUAUUGUUUAGAGGGAGAAGAAAAGCUACUUGUUUUUGAAUUUGUGCCUCACAAAAGUCUAGACUACUUUUUGUAUGAUCCUGAGAAAAAUAUGCAAUUGGAUUGGUUAAAGCGUUAUAGGAUAGCAUGGGGAAUAGCUCGAGGAAUGCACUAUCUACGUGAAGAUUCCCGACUUCGGAUUAUUCAUCGUGACCUGAAAGCAAGCAAUAUCUUGUUAGAUAGUGACCGGAACCCAAGGAUUUCAGAUUUUGGUACAGCCAGGAUUUUUGGAGUUGAUCAAACUCAUGCAAGCACUAAUAAAAUCGCGGGGACUUUGGGUUAUAUGCCUCCGGAAUAUGUAAGGAAUGGCAAAUUCUCCAUUAAAUCCGAUGUCUAUAGUUUUGGUGUCCUACUUCUAGAGAUCAUCACUGGAAAGAAGAAU
Eucalyptus grandis is the source of this 555-nucleotide long non-coding RNA. RefSeq lists it as uncharacterized. The transcript is spliced from 3 exons. The record is from RefSeq and is a predicted model, not a curated record. Lineage: Eukaryota; Viridiplantae; Streptophyta; Magnoliopsida; Myrtales; Myrtaceae.